UGCGGCUGGAUCACCUCCUUUCUAAGGAAGAUGUU
This 35-nucleotide unclassified non-coding RNA is filed under the name Candidatus Liberibacter asiaticus. RNAcentral describes it as "partial 16S-23S ribosomal RNA intergenic spacer". The record is from RNAcentral. Lineage: Bacteria; Pseudomonadati; Pseudomonadota; Alphaproteobacteria; Hyphomicrobiales; Rhizobiaceae.